CCUACGGGUGGCAGCAGUGAGGAAUAUUGGUCAAUGGACGAGAGUCUGAACCAGCCAAGUAGCGUGAAGGAUGACUGCCCUAUGGGUUGUAAACUUCUUUUAUAUGGGAAUAAAACGUUCCACGUGUGGGAUUUUGUAUGUACCAUAUGAAUAAGGAUCGGCUAACUCCGUGCCAGCAGCCGCGGUAAUACGGAGGAUCCGAGCGUUAUCCGGAUUUAUUGGGUUUAAAGGGAGCGUAGGUGGAUUGUUAAGUCAGUUGUGAAAGUUUGCGGCUCAACCGUAAAAUUGCAGUUGAAACUGGCAGUCUUGAGUACAGUAGAGGUGGGCGGAAUUCGUGGUGUAGCGGUGAAAUGCGUAGAUAUCACGAAGAACUCCGAUUGCGAAGGCAGUUCACUGGACUGCAACUGACACUGAGGCUCGAAAGUGUGGGUAUCAAACAGGAUUAGAUACCCCUGUAGUC
RNAcentral lists this ribosomal RNA (460 nucleotides) under uncultured bacterium. Its description in RNAcentral is "partial 16S ribosomal RNA". It matches the Rfam family "Bacterial small subunit ribosomal RNA", at positions 338 to 795 of the family's 1533-position model. The record is from RNAcentral.